AAAGAAGGUGAUAGCCCUGNAAGUUGCCUCCCUUUAAAGGAGCGGGCACAAUGAAUUGUAAUUGUGAAAAGAUUGGAAGAUCUGGCCAAAGAAGGUGAUAGCCCUGUAGAUUCGUUUCCAUGGUUUGAUCCUUCCCAGUAAAAUGCGGCGUGUUCAAAUUCUGAUUGCUUUUAUGCGAGAAAGAGGGACCACCCUCUAAGCCUAAGUAUUCCUCAAUGACCGAUAGCGUACAAGUACUAUGAGGGAAAGGUAAAGAGAACCCUAUUUAGGGAGUGCAAUAGAGAACCUGAGAUCCGAUGCAAAAAAUUAGUCGAAGGAGCAGAGCUUAGAGCCUUUACUUUAUGUAAGGCGCACUCACUCUAACGGCGUACCUUUUGCAUGAUAGGUCAGCGAGGAAAUGGGAACAACGGCUUAAGCCAUUAGGUGUAGGUGCUUUCCAGAGGUUGAACCUUCUAGUUCUUCCUAUUUGACCCGAAACCGAUCGAUCUAGCCAUAAGCAGGUUGAAGAGAGCUCUAACAGGCAUUGGAGGACCGAACCCACGUAUGUGGCAAAAUAUGGGGAUGACUUGUGGCUAGGGGUGAAAGGCCAACCAAGAUCGGAUAUAGCUGGUUUUUCGCGAAAUCUAUUUCAGUAGAGCGUAUGAUGUCGAUGGCCCGAGGUAGAGCACUCAAUGGGCUAGGGUGGCCUCAUUUCGCCUUACCAACCCCAGGGAAACUCCGAAUACAGGCCUAGAUCGUUUGUACAGACAGACUUUUUGGGUGCUAAGAUCCAAAGUCGAGAGGGAAACAGCCCAGAUCGUACGCUAAGGUCCCUAAGCAAUCACUUANCAGUAGAGCGUAUGAUGUCGAUGGCCCGAGGUAGAGCACUCAAUGGGCUAGGGUGGCCUCAUUUCACCUUACCAACCCCAGGGAAACUCUGAAUACAUGCCUAGAUUAUUUGUACAGACAGACUUUUUGGGUGCUAAGAUCCAAAGUCUAGAGGGAAACAACCCAGAUCGUACGCUAAGGUCCCUAAGAAAUCACUUAGUGGAAAAGGAAGUGAUCGAGUGAUGACAACCAGGAGGUGGGCUUGGAAGCAGCCAUCCUUUGAAGAAAGCGUAAUAGCUCACUGGUCUAGCUCCAUGGCACCAAACAUGUAUCAGGGCUCAAGUGAUUCACCGAACGACGAGACCUUGAAAACUAUUUUUUCAAGUGCCAGAAGCGAAACGUUCUGUCAAUCAGGGAAGGUUUUUGGUGACAAGACCUGGAGAUAUCAGAAGUGAGAAUGCAGACAUGAGUAACGUAAAACCCUGUGAAAAACACGAUCGCCUGCAAGUGGAAGGUUUUCUGCAUUCAGUUAAUCUACACAGAGUGAAUCGGUCCCUAAGGAACCCUCGAAAGGGCUGCCGUCCAUGCCUACAGAAGUGACGAAGUUGCUUUGACUACAAAACCAUGCCUGUCUGUUGGAGCGAAUUGGAUGAUCGGGCCGAGGGCUACCCCCUCUUCCCCUCACUCUCCUUUCCCUAAUAUGAACCUUGAGUCAUCAAAGCCUUUCUGACUCGGCCUGGCCCGGUCGCCCUACACAAAUGGCGCUUCAAAAGGUGAAACUCUUGGUCGUAGUUUGGUGACCUAUCUUCAAUAGGGGUCCUUAUUCUUUUGAUUAGAGUAGGGGUCGCGAGAGAGUAGAGCGUACCUCCCUGCCAUAGUCACGAGUCUAUUUAUAGUCGCGACUGUUGUCAUACUCAACAAGGUUGAAACUUCCAGGAAAAAAUUUCGAAUUGGGAGGGCGAUCCUCCCGGUGAACUGACCGUACCCCAAACCGACACAGGUGAACAAGUAGAGUAUACUAGGGCGCUUGAGAGAACCAUGUCAAAGGAAGUCGGCAAAAUGACCCCGUAACUUCGGGAGAAAGGGUGCUCUCCUAUCUUUUGAUUAGGAAAGUGGCACAUACCAGGGGGUAGUGACUGUUUAUUAAAAACACAGGACUCUGCUAAGUGGUAACAUGAUGUAUAGAGUCUGACACCUGGCCGGUGUUGGAAGGUCGGAACGAGAAGUGUUAUAAGCUUUGAAUGGAAGCCCCGGUAAAUGACGGCAGUAACUCUAACUGUCCUAAGGUAGCGAAAUUCCUUAUCGCAUAAGUAGCGACCUGCAUGAAAGGUGUUACGCCUGCCCCGCUGUCUUCGACAUGGACCCGGUGAUAUUGAAUUCUCCAUGAAGAUGCAGAGUACCAAUGGCUAGAUGGUAAGACCCCGUGCACCUUAACUAUAGCUUCGCAGUGACAACCUUAAUCGAAUGUGUAGGAUAGGUGGGAGGUGGUGACACACAGCGACCAAUCCUGAAAGACCACUCUUUUGUCUAAGGAUGCCUAACCGCCGCACCGAUCAUUCGGGGGGAGGCGGGACACUGCGAGGUGGGUAGUUUAUCUGGGGCAUAUGCCUCCUAAAGAGUAACGGAGGUGUGCGAAGGUAGGCUCAAGCUAAGAUUCUGCUCGUGAGCGUAAUGGUAUAAACCUGCCUGACUGUGAGACCGACUGGUCGAACAAAGAUGAAAGUCGACCAUAGUAAUCCGGGAGUCCCGUGUGGAAGGGCUCUCGCUCAAUGGAUCAAAGGUACGACGGGGAUAACAGGCUGAUGACUCCCAAGAGAUCGUAUCGACGGAGUCGUUUGGCACCUCGAUGUCGACUCAUCACAUCCUAGGGUUGAAGAAGGUCCCAAGGGUUCGGUUGUUUGCCGAUUCAAGUGGUACGUGAGUUGGGUUUAGAACGUCGUGAGAUAGUUCGGUUCCUAUCUACCAUUGGUGUUAAAGGGAGAACUGCGAGGAGCCAACCCUAGUAUGAGAGGACUGGGUUGGGCUAACCUAUGGUGUACCGGUUGUUAUGCCAAUAGCAGCGCCGGGCAACUAAGUUGGUAUGGAAGAACUGCUGCACUGUGGGAAAUCCUUCUCUAUACAAGUUCUCGGACGAGGUUUUUGAACAGAACUUCGAUAGGUGAGAGGUGUAAGCACGCGAGGUGUGAAGCGAUCUUGUACUAAACGAAACUACUUUCACUUUC
Molecule: ribosomal RNA, 3029 nt
Filed under: Nicotiana tabacum (common tobacco)
Lineage: Eukaryota; Viridiplantae; Streptophyta; Magnoliopsida; Solanales; Solanaceae
Description: bacterial LSU rRNA
Rfam family: Bacterial large subunit ribosomal RNA
Source: RNAcentral